Molecule: ribosomal RNA, 447 nt
Filed under: uncultured bacterium
Lineage: Bacteria
Description: bacterial SSU rRNA
Rfam family: Bacterial small subunit ribosomal RNA
Source: RNAcentral
UGGGGAAUUUUGGGCAAUGGGCGAAAGCCUGAUCCAGCCAUGCCGCGUGGAUGAAGAAGGCCCUAGGGUUGUAAAGUCCUUUCGGUGGUGAAGAUAAUGACGGUAACCACAGAAGAAGCCCCGGCUAAUUUCGUGCCAGCAGCCGCGGUAAUACGAAAGGGGCUAGCGUUGUUCGGAAUUACUGGGCGUAAAGCGCACGUAGGCGGCCUUGUAAGUUGGGGGUGAAAUCCCCGGGCUCAACCCGGGAACUGCCUUCAAGACUGCAAAGCUCGAGGACGCGAGAGGUUAGCGGAAUUCCGAGUGUAGAGGUGAAAUUCGUAGAUAUUCGGAAGAACACCAGUGGCGAAGGCGGCUAACUGGCGCGUUUCUGACGCUGAGGUGCGAAAGCGUGGGGAGCAAACAGGAUUAGAUACCCCCGUAGUCCCUGAGCGGGCUGGCAAGGCGCAU